GGAGAGGUGUCCGAGCGGCCGAAGGAGCACGACUGGAAAUCGUGUUUUCACCGAGAGGUGAAACGCGGGUUCAAAUCCCGCCCUCUCCG
Molecule: transfer RNA, 89 nt
Filed under: bacterium
Lineage: Bacteria
Also listed under: 1 other name
Description: tRNA-Ser
Rfam family: tRNA
About the family: Transfer RNA (tRNA) molecules are approximately 80 nucleotides in length. Their secondary structure includes four short double-helical elements and three loops (D, anti-codon, and T loops).
Source: RNAcentral